This 494-nucleotide ribosomal RNA is filed under the name uncultured bacterium. RNAcentral describes it as "partial 16S ribosomal RNA". It matches the Rfam family "Bacterial small subunit ribosomal RNA", at positions 28 to 506 of the family's 1533-position model. The record is from RNAcentral.
GAUGAACGCUGGCGGCGUGCCUAAUACAUGCAAGUCGAGCGAACAGACGAGGAGCUUGCUCCUCUGACGUUAGCGGCGGACGGGUGAGUAACACGUGGAUAACCUACCUAUAAGACUGGGAUAACUUCGGGAAACCGGAGCUAAUACCGGAUAAUAUAUUGAACCGCAUGGUUCAAUAGUGAAAGACGGUUUUGCUGUCACUUAUAGAUGGAUCCGCGCCGCAUUAGCUAGUUGGUAAGGUAACGGCUUACCAAGGCAACGAUGCGUAGCCGACCUGAGAGGGUGAUCGGCCACACUGGAACUGAGACACGGUCCAGACUCCUACGGGGGCAGCAGUAGGGAAUCUUCCGCAAUGGGCGAAAGCCUGACGGAGCAACGCCGCGUGAGUGAUGAAGGUCGUCGGAUCGUAAAACUCUGUUAUUAGGGAAGAACAAAUGUGUAAGUAACUAUGCACGUCUUGACGGUACCUAAUCAGAAAGCACGGCUAACUACGU